RNAcentral lists this ribosomal RNA (441 nucleotides) under uncultured bacterium. RNAcentral's name for it is "partial 16S ribosomal RNA". It matches the Rfam family "Bacterial small subunit ribosomal RNA", at positions 338 to 795 of the family's 1533-position model. The record is from RNAcentral.
CCUACGGGAGGCAGCAGUGGGGAAUAUUGCACAAUGGGGGAAACCCUGAUGCAGCGACGCCGCGUGAGUGAAGAAGUAUUUCGGUAUGUAAAGCUCUAUCAGCAGGAACGAGACUAGCCGGUACCUGACAAAGAAGCCCCGGCUAAAUACGUGCCAGCACCCGCGGUAUGACGUUGGGGGCAAGCGUUACCCGGAAUCAUGGGGUGUAAAGGGAGCGUAGACGGGUGAGCAAGCCUGAAGUGAAAGGCGGGGGCCCAACCCCCGGAGUGCUUUGGAAACUGUACGGCUAGAGUGCAGGAGAGGUAAGUGGAAUUCCUAGUGUAGCGGUGAAAUGCGUAGAUAUUAGGAGGAACACCAGUGGCGAAGGCAGCUUACUAAACUGUGACUGACAUUGAUGCUCGAAAGUGUGGGUAUCAAACAGGAUUAGAUACCCUUGUAGUC